UUUAGUUAAAUUUUAGACGGUUUUCGUGUAAAACGAAAGUGGCCGCAUUCGUGUUCAUCCUUAAUAUUGAAAUGUAAGUUGUAUUUUAUGAUAAUACAUAACAUAUUUAAAGGUUGAGGAUGAACACGGAUGCGGCCACUUUCAUUUUUACCAAAAACCAUCUGAAAAGUGACAUUUUUCUGCAUAUUAGGUAGAUUUUUCAUAUUUGAGCUUGAAUCGGACUAAAUCUGUUAAAAUCUUUCACAUAAACUAAUUAAUUCAAAUAAAAUAGACACUUAAGUGUUUAAAAAGUGAUCAAAAUCUUUCGUCAGAUGAACCUGAAAUUUGAGGCCAAAAUCGGUCCUUACCGGACCUACUCCUUUGUUAAAGGUUUUGAUGAAUUCUAUACAGUUUUCAAAUGCACCUCUCCAUACAGGUGAAAUUUUGAAGUAAUGUAAUGAUAGGAAUUUCAAAAUAAUCAAUAAUAUUUUAAUUUUUCGGAAUUAUCAUAAAUUAGCUUUUUUAUAAAUUUUGCAUGUUAACCGUAGGUUGUAUACCACACUUACACAUGAAUAUAGAUGUAGCUCCACAUUUAUUGUGUUUAUUAUUUCUGUUAUUUAAUAAGAAUCAUGUUAUUAUUGAAAACAUUUUAAAAAUGCUCAAAUUAAAGUAUUUUACCUAAAC
RNAcentral lists this long non-coding RNA (663 nucleotides) under Mytilus galloprovincialis (Mediterranean mussel). The record is from RNAcentral. Lineage: Eukaryota; Metazoa; Mollusca; Bivalvia; Mytilida; Mytilidae.